CCCCGGUAAACGGCGGCCGUAACUAUAACGGUCCUAAGGUAGCGAAAUUCCUUGUCGGGUAAGUUCCGACCUGCACGAAUGGCGUAAUGAUGGCCAGGCUGUCUCCACCCGAGACUCAGUGAAAUUGAACUCGCUGUGAAGAUGCAGUGUACCCGCGGCAAGACGGAAAGACCCCGUGAACCUUUACUAUAGCUUGACACUGAACAUUGAGCCUUGAUGUGUAGGAUAGGUGGGAGGCUUUGAAGUGUGGACGCCAGUCUGCAUGGAGCCGACCUUGAAAUACCACCCUUUAAUGUUUGAUGUUCUAACGUGGACCCGUAAUCCGGGUUGCGGACAGUGUCUGGUGGGUAGUUUGACUGGGGCGGUCUCCUCCUAAAGAGUAACGGAGGAGCACGAAGGUUGGCUAAUCCUGGUCGGACAUCAGGAGGUUAGUGCAAUGGCAUAAGCCAGCUUGACUGCGAGCGUGACGGCGCGAGCAGGUGCGAAAGCAGGUCAUAGUGAUCCGGUGGUUCUGAAUGGAAGGGCCAUCGCUCAACGGAUAAAAGGUACUCCGGGGAUAACAGGCUGAUACCGCCCAAGAGUUCAUAUCGACGGCGGUGUUUGGCACCUCGAUGUCGGCUCAUCACAUCCUGGGGCUGAAGUAGGUCCCAAGGGUAUGGCUGUUCGCCAUUUAAAGUGGUACGCGAGCUGGGUUUAGAACGUCGUG
This 706-nucleotide ribosomal RNA is filed under the name Salmonella enterica subsp. enterica. RNAcentral's name for it is "partial 23S ribosomal RNA". It matches the Rfam family "Bacterial large subunit ribosomal RNA", at positions 1918 to 2623 of the family's 2925-position model. Lineage: Bacteria; Pseudomonadati; Pseudomonadota; Gammaproteobacteria; Enterobacterales; Enterobacteriaceae. The record is from RNAcentral.